CUCUGUACCCCCUCAAACAGCCAAACCCCGGAAGGUCCAAUGGCCCCUCCCAUUACCGUAUUUACUCUAGUACUGAUACCAUCAUGACCGUACCUUAUAAAUUACUACAGAGAGGACCUGACUUCCAGCCCCUGCUGGAUCGUUAAGCCCCAACCGUAUGUUGAGCUUUGCGAACCAGCUAAACCUUUGCUGUAUUGACCUAGUCCUGUUUUGCCUGUCUGCUGUGUUUUCCGAUUACCUACCUGUAACCCUGCUUUUUCCCCUGCCUAGACAAACCUGACAACUGCACGCACCUGUUUGUCACCCUGGACCUCAGAGCCGCCCUGCACCUAGAUUCCACGCCAACCCACAGCCACUCGGCCCACCCCCCUGACACUGUUGUUAUACCUACUGCCAUGAUGAAUGAAGCCCAGUCAAUGUCAUUGUCAUUUAUGCUUGAAACCAUCUCAUAUAUAAUAAAAUAGAAAUGAAUUAC
Long non-coding RNA from Esox lucius (northern pike), 475 nucleotides. RefSeq lists it as uncharacterized. The transcript has 2 exons. NCBI's taxonomy places the organism in Eukaryota, Metazoa, Chordata, Actinopteri, Esociformes, Esocidae. The record is from RefSeq and is a predicted model, not a curated record.